AUGGAGAGUUUCACCAAGCCACAAAUUUUUGAGCUGAGUAUUGAGCUGGAUCUCAAGAUGAGUAGGAAUUUACCAAGGGAGAAAAAAAAAAAAAAGGAGAGAGAAGAGAGUGCUUCACCAGCAGAGAAAGCAAGCAGCAUGGACCACAGGGUCAUCAAUCUGAUUGGAAGGAGAAUUACCCACAUUAUUUUCACUUGUCGAAGGAAGAGGAAGUCUAGUAAAGAAACAGAACUGAAAGAGAGACCAAAUGGCCCUUCAUCUUCUGAGUCAUUUCUAUCAUGUUUAUUUCUCCAUUUGCUCAAUUUCUUUGAGUACACAUGAGGCUGAACUCGCAUGUCAUCAGGUAAGCAGUCACCAAAAAAUAGAUGGCAUUUUCAUUUUGGGUCAGCAGAAGUACAUAUUCUAGAUCAGCCAUCAAUCUGGAGUCAAAUAGUAUGGUGUUUUGUUAGGGUUGAUUUAGUGGUAUUCAAAUCAAAAUAACCUUUUGCAUACUGAAAGUACAUUAUUGCAUAAUUCAUUUUAUGCAGUAUCUCAUUAAGUUUUUUUUUUUUUUUUUUUUUUUUUUUUUUUUUUUUACAUUCUUACCAAUUGACCUUAUUUGUCCAGGACUUAAUUUUCUGUGUCCCGCAAGCCCCUCAGUGUAUCCAGUGGUAACUGCCACUUUUAAUUUACCUGAGACUUAGCUACUUUGAUUUUAGUCUUGGACAAGUUCUGUGAAAAUGUCUUAUCUGUAAUCCAUUUCCUUAAUGUAUAUCAGGUAGUAAUAGAGAAAAAGAGUUAGAGUUAUAGAAGCACAAGGCUGAAUUAUCCAUUAGUUUGGGAAUUCAAAUUCUCUAUUUUUUUUGUUGUUGCUGUUGUUGUAUAUUAGAUUGUAGGAGGCAAAAUAGAUGGACAAUAAAAUCUUUGUUUUUGUGGUUCUGAAAAAAUAA
Molecule: long non-coding RNA, 929 nt
Filed under: Felis catus (domestic cat)
Lineage: Eukaryota; Metazoa; Chordata; Mammalia; Carnivora; Felidae
Description: lncRNA (ENSFCAG00000042721.2)
Source: RNAcentral